AAAUUGAAGAGUUUGAUCAUGGCUCAGAUUGAACGCUGGCGGCAGGCCUAACACAUGCAAGUCGAACGGUAACAGGAAACAGCUUGCUGUUUCGCUGACGAGUGGCGGACGGGUGAGUAAUGUCUGGGAAACUGCCUGAUGGAGGGGGAUAACUACUGGAAACGGUAGCUAAUACCGCAUAACGUCGCAAGACCAAAGAGGGGGACCUUCGGGCCUCUUGCCAUCGGAUGUGCCCAGAUGGGAUUAGCUAGUAGGUGGGGUAACG
This 265-nucleotide ribosomal RNA is filed under the name Escherichia coli. RNAcentral describes it as "partial 16S ribosomal RNA". It matches the Rfam family "Bacterial small subunit ribosomal RNA", at positions 1 to 262 of the family's 1533-position model. Lineage: Bacteria; Pseudomonadati; Pseudomonadota; Gammaproteobacteria; Enterobacterales; Enterobacteriaceae. RNAcentral also lists the same sequence under 2 other names. The record is from RNAcentral.